CUCGUGAACCUGCAAAAAAAACUCUCUGGUGCGAAUCCCUAAAAAAAAAACUCUCUCUUGCGAACCCCCACCCCUCCCGGUCGAGCUCCUCACCGCCGCCACGAUCUCCUCACCGCCGCCACCACCCACGUCGUCCGGUUCUGGCGAGCUCCGGCCGCGCACAACACUCCCCCAGGCUCCCCAAGCCCCGCCCGUCCCUCCCCUCCGUCCAGAUCCGUGCCUCAAGGCCUGCACCCUUGCCCACGGUUAGGGUUUCGGGCGCCUCCCGUGUUCUUGCCGGAAUCCACCACAAUCGGCGAUGGCGAGGCCGGAGCUUGCGGGAUCCGUCAUCGGUGUUGCCCAGGUCACCAUGGCGCGGAGGCGGUCCCCCAGCCAGGUACGUGCGAGGCUGAGAGCAACCACCCGAUCUGCCCUGAGGCGCACCAGCUGUUCUGUACUUCUGUCUACACGAAGAAGUUAUCUCCUUUAGCAAAUUGGGCCUUGGGCUCCUUCUUCAUCUAGAACAACACUUAGGCUCUCAGUACGAUAAUCACUACGUUAAUUCGCUUGGCACACCAAUUUUGGUGCAGAACAGCCGGCGUGCUUGCUCUGCAUCGGAAUUCAGAAAGAAGCACUAAUGCAACAGUAGGGCCAGUUUGCAACUUGUGCAGCACAGAAUUGCAAAGCAGUCAGCCGUUCACCUAGGCUGCAUUGCUGUCUCCACGGAAUUGGUCCUUUCUCAUAUUUCCUUUUGCAGAUUUGCUUCGGAAAAACAACACUUGUGUAUUAUUUCAUGUCGACCUCUUACAAUCAUGUGAGCUCAAUCCCUGACCAUGAGAUGAGAAAACACGGCGUGUAGUUGCUUUAGUGCUUUACUGAACCUUCUGAAUAUCACAUGUUGUGAUUUGUUUGUUUCUGAAGCACUCUGCCAUUAUAUUCAGCAUAUGCUAAUAGUCCCUGUUGCUUUCGGCAUAUACAGUUUGUCUUAUACUUUAUAGCAACCCGAAUUAAGGAUUUUGUGUUCACCUCUGCGGUUCUUAAUAAUGGUCGGUAUUUAGUUUCUCUAGCGGAAGUCCGCCAUGCUGUAGUACUAGGAAUGAUUAUCCUGAUGUGAGAGUGUCUUUCUUGAUGGAAGCAACAUGUGAUACUUUAAUUAGUAUUUAAUUCAGAGAAGAUAUGUAUAGAAUUAAGCACCCUGCAAUUAAGGUAUAUAACUUCAUACUUACCGUGCUUGGAGAUUAAGGUUCCACAAGACUAAUUGAUCUGUUAAAUUGUUUUCAGUUUCGGUGUUCAAGGUGGAAACUUGAUGAAAACAAUAAUGUCUAUUUCAGUUUUUGGUGUGAAUAAGAAAGAAAAACCGCAGUUUGACCCUCAUUCAAAAUGUGAAAUUGGAGCAACAGCUAUCAGGAAGUUUGAACUGAAACCAAAAGGAAGGUAACCAUAUAUGUAGACUAUGCUACUUCGAUCUAAGUUUUGCUAAGUCCACCAUGUUUUAGUUUAUUCUUAGAAAUAUCGGGAUCACCCUCUGUUUCUAUUAUUUAUUAAAAUGAAAUUGUAAACAUUGUUCAUAGCGUCAUGACUCGGACAAACUAGAGUCCGUAUUGGAUAUUUUGUUUUUCCAAUAGCACAAGUCAAACAUGAAGUAGAAAAUUGGUCCACAAAAAAAAGUCAAACCUGCAGUAGCAUAAGUACUUUUGAUUACUAAUGGGUCAACGUAGAAAAUUGGUUUGAUAAUUCAGUUUUAGUACAAGUUCAAAUCCGCAUUCCAUAAUAUAUGUACUAAGAUACUUAGAGAAAUCAAUCUGUCAUGCAGAACUGCUCUAUUAUCCCUCCCGUGCUCUUCACCUCCGCCAUCCAUGUUCCAAGCAGGCCACACAUACCCCAAACCAAAAUCAAGGCAUGCUAGGAUGCUGCAUUGCUUAAUACUUAAUCGCCUAACUAUUAUUCAUGUGCUCAGUUAUGUUAGUAUACUUAUACAGCAGUUAACAAACAAAAGUAGUCUAGGAAUGUAUCUAUGUUUAGUUUUGACUCUAGGCAUCUCAAUUUGAGGUGUUGUUACCCAAAAAAAGAAGACUGAUAUUGGUUCACUGCCAUGGACGUAGUUUUUCCUUGAGUGUUUUCAUUUGUUGCUUCUCAGCAUCCAUUCUACUUUAUAGCUGAACUCUCUAUGAUUAAAAUCUUGGAGAUACAUUAUAGGCAUACUAAUUAGGUUCUUAAUAAUCAACUUAGGCUCCUGCGCUGAAAUAGGCCGAUUGGCUUGGGUCAAUGGAUUGCACCAUAGGGAAACACAGUAUAGCAAUGGCUCGGCUUUGCAGAAUACAUUGUGGAGCAAAUAAAAUUUGUACUCACUCUGUACUGGUGCAUAGGGCAUGCCGCAAGCUUUUAGGUUGGCAAUUUAUAUAUAUCAUGUGUGUCGAAAGUAUAUGUUAAGAAAUUCUUUAUAGUAAAGAUAUCACUGUGUGUAAAUUUUGAACUAUAUUAUAGUAACUGUUUGUGAAAUAAACACAAGGAACAUCUUUUGAGUACCGUCUUAGAAUAAACCAUGUUACCUACAAAAUAAGCACACCGAAUUGUUGGUGCAAAAUAUUAGACAAUAUCAAGCAGCUCUCUCUGAUAAAUGAUACUAAAUAUAUCAGAUUAAAACUUGGAAAAUAAAACAAAACAUGCCUCUACAUUCUAAUAUUUGUUCAUCAAAGAGAAAAAUGGAGUAAUACACAUGCUGUUUAUUCCAAUCCAGCCAAUAUAUAUUACAUAUUAAUUAGUCUAUAAACCAAGGGUAUGCUUUUUAAAAUGUGUAGUCCAAUGGUAUUUAGCAAACACUAGCCCGUGCAGGAGCACGGGUUGAUGACUAGUGUAGCAUAAUUAAUAUGCAGCCAGAGUCUAGUAUGAUAUCACAACCUUGAGUAAAGCAUUUGAAUUUACGCUAGUAGAUAUUGAUCUGUGAUCGAAGUGUGUGUGUUUAAUACCUCUAAAAUCAACAAUUGAUACUUCUUAGUGCAGCAUUGUAGCUUUAUUUUUACACGAUCAGAUUACCUUUGGUACAGUGGUAAAUGUAUCAUCUUAAGAGUGUACUGAAGCUAUAUUACUUCGUAGCUUGAAUUUUAGGCUUUCUCCAUGGUUAAUAUAAGUUAUGUAAAGCAAUGUUUACCUAGAAGUGCAACUGUAGUGCCAUUCUUAUCUUUUAAUGUACGACGACGGUGCCGCUGCACUUGUGCUAGUCAGUGGGGAGAAAGCUAAGAACCUUGGUCUUCAAGUUCUUGCAAGUACCAGAGGGUGUGGUGAUGCUACUCAGGUAAAUCUUACAUUCCUUGUCAUUAAUCAGUGUUGGUGAGACAAAUGUCACUUGAGAAAUCUCAGCCCAUUGUUCUUAUUAAUGAAUAUUGUUACCAACAUUAUCCUUUUCCCAUGUCGCAAAACUGUCAACCUGACUCAUAUAAUGAUCUUUUUCUUUAGGAUUCAUGGUUUUUUUCCUUUUUCUUGUUAUUAUGCAUCACUAUGAGUUCAUUGUAUUAAGAUUCCUUACAACUUCAGGCACCUGGUCUAUUUACAGAAGGGGGGGACCCAGCCUUCUUCACAUCUCGCGGCAGUGUCUUCCUUUGAUUUGUUCAUGUAACAAGGAGGGGACCCGGCCUUCUUCACGUCUCGUGCAACAUGGGUGAUCAACGCUGACUACUGCAGCCUGGUGGGCGUUGUGCUCCUAAACCACUCGGAGGUGGAUUUCGCCGUGAAGCCCUGCGACCACGUCACACGGAUGAUUGUCCAUGUGAUCGCGACGCCGGAGGUCGCCGAGGUGGAGGAUCUCGAUGCCAUCAUUCGGGGUGAGGGAGGAUUCGGGUCCUCGAGCGUUUGAACUCCGAGCCUUGGUAGAUACAUGUAGAGAAGUCAUCUAUUUAGGCUGGUGGUGGAACACUAGGGAAGAUACCCACCUUUGGUUGUGUGCGUUUAAUUUAUUUUGCACUGGACGUGUCUCUGAUUUCUAUCUAUAAAUUAUGCAUCUAAU
Non-coding RNA from Triticum urartu, 3979 nucleotides. The record is from RefSeq and is a predicted model, not a curated record. Lineage: Eukaryota; Viridiplantae; Streptophyta; Magnoliopsida; Poales; Poaceae.